GCUAUAUUUUUCCUUGGGCUCUGAAGCUAAGUUUCGUGAUUUCAAGAAUGUGAAAUAAACUAGAAGGAAAAAUUCUAGUUGAUGCUUUUUAAACAAGGGGUUUAUUCCAGCGUACACCCAUAUUUUUUAUUGUUAGUGGUCAGAGAGGAGGACUGUCAAAGGCGUAGAGAUACAUAACUGCAUGUAGUAAGGCUCCUAUAAGUCAUGAUAGCAAAAAACUGUGUAAAUGGACUAUGAUCAUACAGGAUUGUGUAAUUUGAUUCACCGAUCAAAGCAGUGUAGUAACUGAUCUGGAAUAGCUGAGGCCUAUUGAGAACUACUAAUUUGGGCAGCAAUGGCAGAUCAAUCCAACAGCAGUUAGGGAAUCACAGAAUAUAAAUGAUUCAUUUCCCCAAAAUUAAGGAUUAGCAAUUCCAGUUCAGUGCCUGUGAAAUGGCCUAAUGCCUUGUCUGCUUCUUAUUUUUCUGUCAGGCUUAACUUCUGCAGCUGUGAGGCUUCAACCUCAGCAGCACCUGCCAUGGUUGCCCUCAGUGCACUCCUGGUUACUACACCAACCUCAUCAGCCUGUUACUUCCUCAAUUAUUUUUAAUCCCUCUAAAGGAAAAGAAUUGCAGCCUAAAGCAAACAGACACAAGAGUGUUUCAGGGUAGCUAUAUACUCAAACAUGGGCAGUCAUAAAGCAUUAAGAUGCCUUCAUUGAUGCUUUGAAGACCUCACUGUCUCACUCAAGCUGGGAACUCUACUUUGUCUUAAAGUGUACAAAAGAUUUGGAAAAAAUUUUAAAUAUAUUGAUAAUUAAUUUGAACUGGAAAUUAUUAAAUUGAAGUUACCAAAUGUAGACUUAUGUAUAAUGCUAUUUUAAUACUGUUUCCAACAGUAAAUUGUCAAAUGUCUACAUUGAUAACAGUGGUUUCGGGCUUGAAAGAGGAGACGAGAUCCUUGUGUGCUGUUAAAAUUAAAGCCCUGUUAAAUAGAAUUGCAUGCACUGACAAGUUCUCCUCUGUUUUAAAUCCUCUGGAUGUACUGUUUCUCUCCUGACGAUGGUAUUAUACAGUUUUACUCAAUAUACCUGUAACUGUUGUUAAAAAGUAAAAGCCAUAAAAAGAUAUUUCCUUCAG
This 1118-nucleotide long non-coding RNA is filed under the name Gallus gallus (chicken). Its description in RNAcentral is "lncRNA (ENSGALG00010002665.1)". Lineage: Eukaryota; Metazoa; Chordata; Aves; Galliformes; Phasianidae. The record is from RNAcentral.